AUUGAACGCUGGCGGCAUGCCUAACACAUGCAAGUCAAGCGGAUGAAUGGAGCUUGCUCCUGGAUUCAUCGGCGGACGGGUGAGUAAUGCCUAGGAAUCUGCCUGGUAGUGGGGGAUAACGUCCGGAAACGGGCGCUAAUACUGCAUACGUCCUGAUGGAGAAAGUGGGGGGUCUUCGGACCUCACACUAUCAUAUUAGCCUAGGUCGGAUUAGCUAGUUGGUGGGGUAAAGGCCUACCAAGGCGACGAUCCGUAACUGGUCUGAGGGGAUGAUCAGUCACAUGGGAACAGAGAAACGGUCCAGACUCCGACAGGAGGAAGCGGUGGGGACUAUUGGACAAUGGGCGAAAGCCUGAUACAGCCAAGCCGCGUGUGUGCAGAAGGUCCUCGGCUUGUAAAGCACUUAAAGUUGGGAGGAAAGGAAGUAAGUUAAUACCUUGCUGUUUUGACGUUACCAACAGAAUAAGCACCGGCUAACUCCGUG
RNAcentral lists this ribosomal RNA (484 nucleotides) under uncultured bacterium. Its description in RNAcentral is "partial 16S ribosomal RNA". It matches the Rfam family "Bacterial small subunit ribosomal RNA", at positions 30 to 507 of the family's 1533-position model. The record is from RNAcentral.